RNAcentral lists this ribosomal RNA (511 nucleotides) under uncultured microorganism. RNAcentral describes it as "bacterial SSU rRNA". It matches the Rfam family "Bacterial small subunit ribosomal RNA", at positions 9 to 514 of the family's 1533-position model. The record is from RNAcentral.
GAGUUUGAUCGUGGCUCAGAUUGAACGCUGGCGGCAGGCUUAACACAUGCAAGUCGAGCGGGUGAAGUGCUUCGGUACUGAUCCUAGCGGCGGACGGGUGAGUAAUGCUUAGGAAUCUGCCAUUUAGGUGGGGGACAACAUUCCGAAAGGGAUGCUAAUACCGCAUACGUCCUACGGGAGAAAGCAGGGGAUCUUCGGACCUUGCGCUAAAUGAUGAGCCUAAGUCGGAUUAGCUAGUUGGUGGGGUAAAGGCCUACCAAGGCGACGAUCUGUAGCGGGUCUGAGAGGAUGAUCCGCCACACUGGGACUGAGACACGGCCCAGACUCCUACGGGAGGCAGCAGUGGGGAAUAUUGGACAAUGGGCGGAAGCCUGAUCCAGCCAUGCCGCGUGUGUGAAGAAGGCCUUUUGGUUGUAAAGCACUUUAAGCGAGGAGGAGGCUACCUGGAUUAAUACUCUGGGAUAGUGGACGUUACUCGCAGAAUAAGCACCGGCUAACUCUGUGCCAGCAG